Molecule: long non-coding RNA, 575 nt
Filed under: Theobroma cacao (cacao)
Lineage: Eukaryota; Viridiplantae; Streptophyta; Magnoliopsida; Malvales; Malvaceae
Description: long non-coding RNA (TCAC_LNC002787)
Source: RNAcentral
UGCUGCUGCCUUUAGCAGCAGUUUGUGCAGAAGAAAGCAGCAGCCCGAAUGCUACAUCCAAGUAUCAGAUCGAAUGCACAAUGUGUUCCUCAUGCGACAAUCCGUGUCAGCAGGUUCCAUCACCUCCACCUCCAUCUCCACCACCACCUUCACCCUCACCACCACCACCACCAGCUACAUCCAACAACAACAACUGCCCACCACCUCCAUCUCCACCCAGCUCUGGUGGUGGUGGUGGUGGUGGAAGCUACUACUACUCUCCACCGCCACCUCAAUCUGGCGGCAACAACUACUAUUAUCCACCGCCGCCGGGUGGUGUUAUUGGUGGCAUGUACUACCCUCCACCAACAUACAGAAACUACCCAACACCGCCACCUCCAAACCCUAUCGUUCCUUACUUUCCUUUCUACUACCACACUCCUCCACCUCCUUCAGGGUCUGGGAAACUGAUAGCUUGCUGGGUUUCUACUUUUGCUGCCACGCUGGGCCUUCUCCUUUGUUUCUUUUGAUAUUGAAAGCUAAAGAAGAAGAAAGAAGAAAAUAAUGUGGCAGAUUAGUAGAUCUGGGGAAACUUC